This 934-nucleotide long non-coding RNA is filed under the name Cricetulus griseus (Chinese hamster). Its description in RNAcentral is "lncRNA (ENSCGRG00015036459.1)". The stretch from base 196 to 286 matches the Rfam family "Small nucleolar RNA SNORD116". Lineage: Eukaryota; Metazoa; Chordata; Mammalia; Rodentia; Cricetidae. The record is from RNAcentral.
CUGGGACUGUCUGCACCCUUGGCAGACUUAGGUCCUGGAGGUGCUGCCCCGUUGCGUGCAAGGGGCCCAUUGCAGUGUGUUCCCAUGCCCGGGCUGGGGCACUCGAUGAUAUUACUUCUGGCACCCCACCAACACCCGCGCUGUCCAUGAGUGUCCGUGCUGAAUAUCUGUGUGCAAGGGCACUGCAGUGUGCGUGGAUCGAUGAUGAUUCAAAUCAAACAUUCCUUGGAAAGCUGAACAAAAUGAGUGAAAGCUCAAUACGCCUCUCUCAUCGGGACUGAGGUCCGGCACCUUGGGUCGCCCAAAUCCUCCGGGAGUCAGACACAGGCUUGGGAGCCACUCCUCUGCUCCUGCCCUCCUCCAGCAGUAGGCAGAGUCCCUCCCUCCCGAGGGGCUGGUUCUUUGCCCCACUCUGCUAGCAGUCACGCCCAUGGUGAAGACACAGUGGUUGCCUCUUGUCGGGAAAAUUGCCUCGCUCUUGCUGACUAGAAAUCCUGAGAAGAUAUGGGGUGGGGGGUGUGCUAGCCUCCAGCAGUGGCCCUCAGCCAGAUCUCGGCCUUAGCAAAGGGAGCAGGAAGAGCAGAGUCCCCAACUGAUUUGCCCUGCCCAUAAUGGAUGGCAGGGCCCGGGUGGAGCCUUGUUCCAAGUUUUAAGUGGGUUGUAGCCCUCCAGUGUUGCUGCUGAGAGAGACUGUCAAGUCCAGGCUGCAGUGGGAGGUGCCCUGGCUCAUGGCUUCUUGUGCUUUGGUGGCUGUGGUCUCUUGACUUGAUGAUAUUCUGUCAGGGAGCUGAUGGAAGAUGGCGGGGAUUUGUGGGGAGGGCAGCCCCGCAAGGUACUCGUGAGUCCUGAUUUAGAGGAAAAGAAGAGCCUAAGGUUUGAGGGGAUGAAGGCAGCCGAAUCCAGACGGGCAUUGCAGAUAGACAGCUAGCCAGGG